ACCGGAUGCCUAAGAAGAAAUGCAGUCACUCGCUCCUCAUUUUCUUCAGGAUCUAUGGAACAAGUACUGUAAACCAAUACUCCACCAGGCUUUACCAACCUAUGGAUGCCAUUGCAGUAAAUAACAAAUCUAAGAAAACCUAUC
Long non-coding RNA from Telopea speciosissima, 144 nucleotides. RefSeq lists it as uncharacterized. The record is from RefSeq and is a predicted model, not a curated record. NCBI's taxonomy places the organism in Eukaryota, Viridiplantae, Streptophyta, Magnoliopsida, Proteales, Proteaceae. The transcript is spliced from 3 exons.